Equus caballus (horse) is the source of this 495-nucleotide non-coding RNA. The record is from RefSeq and is a predicted model, not a curated record. Lineage: Eukaryota; Metazoa; Chordata; Mammalia; Perissodactyla; Equidae.
CUAGUGGAGGGAGCUUUCCCGCGGAUGGGUAUGGCGGUGAGCGUUAGGUGAAAGCUUCGUCGCCCCAUGAAGAGGCUUAGACUGAGUUUUGGCAUUUCCCUGUGAGACGCUGCCCCUUAGGCAAAUGCAUCUGUCAUGGUUAAGCACCUGGGUUUAAAUGUAAUGUUUGAGGCUUACUGAAUCCUCACAGAUUCGUUGGCACCUGGAUGGCUAAGUCUUCAAGUUAUAAAACAAGAUCACAAGCCAAAAAGUAACAUAGGAAAUAAUAAAGACUGGAUCAUGUUAUCAGAUUUUACUGUUUCAUAUACAGAAGGCUAUCGGACUGUUUUGCCAGAUUCUAAAUGACAACUUUUAAGUCAGAGCCUUGAAAUCUAUAGAAGUCCAGUAUAUUCUGAGGUAUAUUGCAUACUAAUGGACAGCAGCAAGAGAUACAUCUGGUGGACUAAAAAGAUCCAGUGAAAAUUAAAAGACACAACACUCAGAACAACUGAUAGG